Triticum urartu is the source of this 134-nucleotide non-coding RNA. The record is from Rfam. Lineage: Eukaryota; Viridiplantae; Streptophyta; Magnoliopsida; Poales; Poaceae.
AACAUACUUCCUCCGUCCGGAAAUAUUUGUCAUUAAAAUGGAUAAAAGGGAUGUAUCUAGAACUAAUAUAUGUCUAGAUACAUCCCGUUUUAUUCAUUUUGAUAACAAGUAUUUUCAGACGGAGUAAGUAUAUC